GUCAGGAUGGAGGACCAUACCACCACACCCAACUCAGGACACUCCCAACCACAGGCCUCCAGUCCUGAUACACCAGAGGAGCAGGAGGACGGGAGGCUGUCGCUACCGAGUCAGCACUAACCCCAGAGCACGCCCCUCAUCGCACCGCACCGCACAGCACAGCGCACGCACCACAGCCCCCUUUGGAAAGAGCACAGUUUUGUGCACGGAGGAUUGUGGUUAAGGAGUGUCUUUUUGUUUGUUAUUUUUGGAACGUGGACCUUGUUUUGUUUUGCCCCGAUUACCAUCGCUGGUAUCGGGGUGUAUUAUUUUUCUGUUUGGAUUAUUUUUGUGAAUAUUUCUGUUUUUGUUUGGAUUAUUGAAUUAUUUAU
Molecule: long non-coding RNA, 371 nt
Organism: Acipenser ruthenus (sterlet)
Lineage: Eukaryota; Metazoa; Chordata; Actinopteri; Acipenseriformes; Acipenseridae
Exons: 3
Source: RefSeq, a predicted model, not a curated record